AGGUGCAUAGCUCAACUGGCAGAGCAGGCGACUUUUAAUCGUCGGGUUCAGGGUUCGAUUCCCUGUGCACCUACAA
Molecule: transfer RNA, 76 nt
Filed under: Nocardia sp. CS682
Lineage: Bacteria; Bacillati; Actinomycetota; Actinomycetes; Mycobacteriales; Nocardiaceae
Description: tRNA-Lys
Rfam family: tRNA
About the family: Transfer RNA (tRNA) molecules are approximately 80 nucleotides in length.
Source: RNAcentral